AAAUUGAAGAGUUUGAUCAUGGCUCAGAUUGAACGCUGGCGGCAGGCCUAACACAUGCAAGUCGAACGGUAACAGGAAGCAGCUUGCUGCUUCGCUGACGAGUGGCGGACGGGUGAGUAAUGUCUGGGAAACUGCCUGAUGGAGGGGGAUAACUACUGGAAACGGUGGCUAAUACCGCAUAACGUCGCAAGACCAAAGAGGGGGACCUUCGGGCCUCUUGCCAUCAGAUGUGCCCAGAUGGGAUUAGCUUGUUGGUGAGGUAACGGCUCACCAAGGCGACGAUCCCUAGCUGGUCUGAGAGGAUGACCAGCCACACUGGAACUGAGACACGGUCCAGACUCCUACGGGAGGCAGCAGUGGGGAAUAUUGCACAAUGGGCGCAAGCCUGAUGCAGCCAUGCCGCGUGUAUGAAGAAGGCCUUCGGGUUGUAAAGUACUUUCAGCGGGGAGGAAGGUGUUGUGGUUAAUAACCGCAGCAAUUGACGUUACCCGCAGAAGAAGCACCGGCUAACUCCGUGCCAGCAGCCGCGGUAAUACGGAGGGUGCAAGCGUUAAUCGGAAUUACUGGGCGUAAAGCGCACGCAGGCGGUCUGUCAAGUCGGAUGUGAAAUCCCCGGGCUCAACCUGGGAACUGCAUUCGAAACUGGCAGGCUUGAGUCUUGUAGAGGGGGGUAGAAUUCCAGGUGUAGCGGUGAAAUGCGUAGAGAUCUGGAGGAAUACCGGUGGCGAAGGCGGCCCCCUGGACAAAGACUGACGCUCAGGUGCGAAAGCGUGGGGAGCAAACAGGAUUAGAUACCCUGGUAGUCCACGCCGUAAACGAUGUCUACUUGGAGGUUGUGCCCUUGAGGCGUGGCUUCCGGAGCUAACGCGUUAAGUAGACCGCCUGGGGAGUACGGCCGCAAGGUUAAAACUCAAAUGAAUUGACGGGGGCCCGCACAAGCGGUGGAGCAUGUGGUUUAAUUCGAUGCAACGCGAAGAACCUUACCUGGUCUUGACAUCCACGGAAGUUUUCAGAGAUGAGAAUGUGCCUUCGGGAACCGUGAGACAGGUGCUGCAUGGCUGUCGUCAGCUCGUGUUGUGAAAUGUUGGGUUAAGUCCCGCAACGAGCGCAACCCUUAUCCUUUGUUGCCAGCGGUCAGGCCGGGAACUCAAAGGAGACUGCCAGUGAUAAACUGGAGGAAGGUGGGGAUGACGUCAAGUCAUCAUGGCCCUUACGACCAGGGCUACACACGUGCUACAAUGGCGCAUACAAAGAGAAGCGACCUCGCGAGAGCAAGCGGACCUCAUAAAGUGCGUCGUAGUCCGGAUUGGAGUCUGCAACUCGACUCCAUGAAGUCGGAAUCGCUAGUAAUCGUGGAUCAGAAUGCCACGGUGAAUACGUUCCCGGGCCUUGUACACACCGCCCGUCACACCAUGGGAGUGGGUUGCAAAAGAAGUAGGUAGCUUAACCUUCGGGAGGGCGCUUACCACUUUGUGAUUCAUGACUGGGGUGAAGUCGUAACAAGGUAACCGUAGGGGAACCUGCGGUUGGAUCACCUCCUUACCUGAAAGAAGC
This 1554-nucleotide ribosomal RNA is filed under the name Salmonella enterica subsp. enterica. RNAcentral describes it as "bacterial SSU rRNA". It matches the Rfam family "Bacterial small subunit ribosomal RNA". Lineage: Bacteria; Pseudomonadati; Pseudomonadota; Gammaproteobacteria; Enterobacterales; Enterobacteriaceae. RNAcentral also lists the same sequence under 1 other name. The record is from RNAcentral.